Molecule: transfer RNA, 75 nt
Filed under: Caulobacter sp.
Lineage: Bacteria; Pseudomonadati; Pseudomonadota; Alphaproteobacteria; Caulobacterales; Caulobacteraceae
Also listed under: 356 other names
Description: tRNA-Val
Rfam family: tRNA
About the family: Transfer RNA (tRNA) molecules are approximately 80 nucleotides in length. Their secondary structure includes four short double-helical elements and three loops (D, anti-codon, and T loops). Further hydrogen bonds mediate the characteristic L-shaped molecular structure. tRNAs have two regions of fundamental functional importance: the anti-codon, which is responsible for specific mRNA codon recognition, and the 3' end, to which the tRNAs corresponding amino acid is attached (by aminoacyl-tRNA synthetases). tRNAs cope with the degeneracy of the genetic code in two manners: having more than one tRNA (with a specific anti-codon) for a particular amino acid; and 'wobble' base-pairing, i.e. permitting non-standard base-pairing at the 3rd anti-codon position.
Source: RNAcentral
GGGCGGUUAGCUCAGCGGUAGAGCACUACGUUGACAUCGUAGUGGCCACUGGUUCGAUCCCAGUACCGCCCACCA